AUGGACGUCGACGCGGCCGCACAGACGCACGCGCACGCACACCGCCACCGUAGCAAGCGUUCUUCCUUGGCAUCCGGCGACGUGUCCCCGACGGGCAUGCAGUACCGCGGGGUGCGGCGCCGUCCGUGGGGCCGGUUCGCGGCGGAAAUCCGGGACCCCGCGUCCAAAGCGCGCCGCUGGCUUGGCACGUACGACACCGCCGAGCAGGCCGCCUGCGCCUACGACGUCGCCGCGCGCUUCAUGCGUGGAGCCAAGGCGCGCACCAACUUCCCCGCACCCGUCGAUUCCUGGCCGGCGGGGUACUGGCCGUGGGGCCAGUCGACGGCGCAGGCGCAUCCGCCGGCGCAGCUCAACACCUUCAUCCUGCACAACCUCAUGAGCUCCUCCCCGCAUGGCUGCGUCCUCCUCCAUCACGCUGGCCACGGCCACUCCCACGUCAACCCCCCUCCGCCGCCCAUACCGACGCCACCGUCGCCUCGUCCCGCUGCUUCGUGCGCCGCUACGGUCACCAUGCCAGACACCGCCACGGCCUCGGCGUCGUCUGUUCCCGGAGCGGAAGACGACGACGACUGGGACUGGGCCGGCGUCCUGCAAGGGCGAGAUCCGCCGGAGACGGGGCUGCUGCAGGAUGUGGUGCACGGCUUCCACGCGAGCAGGCGGCCGCGCGACCACGUUCGCACUGCCGAACCUGACGCGUCGAUCUGGCUGCCGAACCAGGAGAGGCACGAGGCUUUCGGCGGCGUAUCCUCUUCUUGGGGCGCCGGCGACAACGGGUACGAGGAUGAGGGCGACUUCCCAAUGCUGCCGCAGGGGCUCCUCCAGGACGUAGUCCAGUACCCGCCUUUCAUGGAGGUCGUGGCAGCGCCGUCUGCCAUGGGCCGCAGCCGCAGGGCGUGA
RNAcentral lists this ribosomal RNA (897 nucleotides) under Triticum aestivum (bread wheat). RNAcentral describes it as "partial small subunit ribosomal RNA". Lineage: Eukaryota; Viridiplantae; Streptophyta; Magnoliopsida; Poales; Poaceae. The record is from RNAcentral.